CGUAGAGUUUCGAUCCUGGGCUCAGGAUGAACGCUGGCGGCAUGCCUAACACAUGCAAGUCAACGGGGGUUUAGUAUAACGGAACUCUCCGGAGGGAAGAUAUAUAAACCUAGUGGCGGACGGGUGAGUAACGCGUGGGUAACCUGCCCUGUACCGGGGGACAACAGCCAGAAAUGGCUGCUAAUACCGCAUAAGCCUGCUGUGCCGCAUGGCACAGCAGGGAAAACCACGGUGGUACAGGAUGGGCCCGCGUCUGAUUAGUUAGUUGGCAGGGUAACGGCCUACCAAGACAACGAUCAGUAGCCGGCUUGAGAGAGUGGACGGCCACAUUGGGACUGAGGCACGGCCCAGACUCCUGCGGGAGGCAGCAGUGGGGAAUAUUGCACAAUGGGGGGAACCCUGAUGCAGCAAUGCCGCGUGGGUGAAGAAGCACUCCGGUGCGUAAAGCCCUGUCAGCAGGGAAGAAAAUGACAGUACCUGACCAAGAAGCCCCGGCUAACUACGUG
RNAcentral lists this ribosomal RNA (506 nucleotides) under uncultured Lachnospiraceae bacterium. Its description in RNAcentral is "bacterial SSU rRNA". It matches the Rfam family "Bacterial small subunit ribosomal RNA", at positions 1 to 507 of the family's 1533-position model. Lineage: Bacteria; Bacillati; Bacillota; Clostridia; Lachnospirales; Lachnospiraceae. The record is from RNAcentral.